Molecule: ribosomal RNA, 550 nt
Filed under: uncultured Actinomycetes bacterium
Lineage: Bacteria; Bacillati; Actinomycetota; Actinomycetes
Description: bacterial SSU rRNA
Rfam family: Bacterial small subunit ribosomal RNA
Source: RNAcentral
GGCCUACCAAGGCGACGACGGGUAGCCGACCUGAGAGGGUGACCGGCCACACUGGGACUGAGACACGGCCCAGACUCCUACGGGAGGCAGCAGUGGGGAAUAUUGCACAAUGGGCGGAAGCCUGAUGCAGCGACGCCGCGUGAGGGAUGACGGCCUUCGGGUUGUAAACCUCUUUCAGCAGGGACGAAGCGUAAGUGACGGUACCUGCAGAAGAAGCACCGGCUAACUAUGUGCCAGCAGCCGCGGUAAUACGUAGGGUGCGAGCGUUGUCCGGAAUUACUGGGCGUAAAGAGUUCGUAGGCGGUUUGUCGCGUCGUUUGUGAAAACCCGGGGCUCAACUUCGGGCUUGCAGGCGAUACGGGCAGACUUGAGUGUUUCAGGGGAGACUGGAAUUCCUGGUGUAGCGGUGAAAUGCGCAGAUAUCAGGAGGAACACCGGUGGCGAAGGCGGGUCUCUGGGUAGUAACUGACGCUGAGGAACGAAAGCGUGGGUAGCAAACAGGAUUAGAUACCCUGGUAGUCCACGCCGUAAACGGUGGGCGCUAGGUGUG